Long non-coding RNA from Scomber japonicus (chub mackerel), 94 nucleotides. RefSeq lists it as uncharacterized. The record is from RefSeq and is a predicted model, not a curated record. Lineage: Eukaryota; Metazoa; Chordata; Actinopteri; Scombriformes; Scombridae. The transcript is spliced from 2 exons.
UACACAGAGAAACUGGGACAGGACAGAAAUGUUGUUGGAUAUUGUGAAUCCUUCCACUUCAGCUUUACACCUGUACUUUUACUAAUGUGACUUG